RNAcentral lists this ribosomal RNA (455 nucleotides) under uncultured bacterium. Its description in RNAcentral is "bacterial SSU rRNA". It matches the Rfam family "Bacterial small subunit ribosomal RNA", at positions 33 to 507 of the family's 1533-position model. The record is from RNAcentral.
CGACGACGCUGGCGGCGUGCUUAACACAUGCAAGUUGUACGGUACGACAUGGAAGCUUGCUGAAGUGUCGUAGAGUAGCGAACGGGUGAGUAAUGCAUGAGAAUCUGCCCUUUGAGGGGGACAACAGCUGGAAACGGCUGCUAAUACCCCGUAAGCCGGGAGGUGAAAGGUACGCGAGUACUGCCGGGGGAUGAGCUCAUGUCCUAUCAGCUGGUUGGUGGGGUAACGGCCCACCAAGGCGACGACGGGUAGCCGGCCUGAGAGGGUGACCGGCCACACUGGAACUGAGACACGGUCCAGACUCCUACGGGAGGCAGCAGUGGGGAAUUUUGGGCAAUGGGGGAGACCCUGACCCAGCGACGCCGCGUGAGGGAAGACGGCCUUCGGGUUGUAAACCUCUUUUGUACGGGAAGAUAAUGACGGUACUGUACGAAUAAGUCCCGGCUAACUACGUG